Molecule: ribosomal RNA, 253 nt
Filed under: uncultured bacterium
Lineage: Bacteria
Description: partial 16S ribosomal RNA
Rfam family: Bacterial small subunit ribosomal RNA
Source: RNAcentral
CACGUAGGGCGCAAGCGUUGUCCGGAAUUAUUGGGCGUAAAGAGCUCGUAGGCGGUCUGUUGCGUCCGCUGUGAAAACUCGGGGCUUAACCCCGAGCCUGCAGUGGAUACGGGCAGACUAGAGGUAGGUAGGGGAGAAUGGAAUUCCCGGUGUAGCGGUGAAAUGCGCAGAUAUCAGGAGGAACACCGGUGGCGAAGGCGGAUCUCUGGGCCAUUACUGACGCUGAGGAGCGAAAGCGUGGGGAGCGAACAGG